Long non-coding RNA from Strigops habroptila (Kakapo), 1651 nucleotides. The record is from Ensembl. NCBI's taxonomy places the organism in Eukaryota, Metazoa, Chordata, Aves, Psittaciformes, Psittacidae.
AAAGGUAUAUUAAAGGACCUUCCUCCCCAAACCUCAUCCUCUGUCUCAUGUACAGUCACAAAGGUACAUUUCCGAAGAGUCCCCAAUAAAUCCUUUUGCCAAAACGAAGGGCGGAAGACUCGAAGGGAAUGCCCUAGUUGCACAGGAAUGUCAAAUGGUGAUGGGCAGCGGCCAGGAAUCCGCGCUCGGGGUUAUCUAACGUGUAUUUGUAGCACCCACUGCCACUUCUACCGUUACCGGGCUGAUGCUCUUUUAAAACAACAGUACUACCUCAACAAUUUCCACAUCCCUCCCGUACUACACGAGGUAACAUGCUGAUUCACGCCACAGGAGGAUGCCAGUGAGAAGCUGAGAGCGAUUUACUGCGAAUGCCCAGAUCACGCUACUGACCCUGUGAGAUGAGUAGUUUCUGACAGCCAUAAAAUUGCCGAAACUUGUCUAUAGUAACUUUUGCCACACUGAAAACUAUUUUUGUCUGUUCGAUAAUUAUAUUUCCUAUACUUUUUCUGGUGAUAAUGAUAACACAAGUCAUUCGACAAUCAACAGCGAUCCUUCCCAAGAUCAGCGCACGUACACGCAAAACGCGGAACACCCUCCCUGUGCGUCCCAGGCUUCACCAAGAGAUGGCGCAGUCCUUGCGCUAAGGUCCUCAUUUGACCUCUCCAGAAGCCUCUGAGCAUUGUAGAAGAACUGACUACGAUUCGUACCUUCACUUCCGAAUGAGAAACGCACAUUAAGAAAAUUCUGGCGUAAUUUAAUGAUUCCUUCAAAACUACUGAGCUGUAUCUUAUUUUCCCUACAGCUUUUGUAAGCCUUAAUGAAUAAAAUCAUACUAAGAACUCAAAAGGGUGAUGACAAUCUGCACAAAUUCCACGUUACAAUGUGACUUGAAAUUUUUUAACCUUAAGCCCUCAUGUAUAUGGAUAUCCAUAUUUUAAAACUGCCACGUGCAGAUCUAAUAGUUCACACAUGUACUAAUCUUGCCCCGAUCUAGCUAGCAGGCCAGCAUGCGUAAGAACAACUGGUGAGCCCAUCAUCAAAGCUGAUUCUGGUAACUUUAAAACUUCAUACACGCAAGAUGAAUAAAAAAAGAUACUGAUGCUAUUUGCUAGAGUCGAGAAUAUGCACACAAGCAAGGACAGCAAGGCUGGACUACUACCACACUAAAUGCAGUGGGCUUCCAGGCGUCAGGGCCCAUCUGAACAAAGCAGAUGGGCUGCAGGCUGAAGAUCCCUGGCAUCUCUCCUAGAAUGGUCCAUUUUUGUUAUGGCUGAGUUGCCUUUCUUAAGUGUUCAGUCACUCAAGAGUCUUGUAAGGACUGAGAAUGGAUCAUCAAGAGCAUUUAGCUGUUCAGAUUCCUUUGGUUUCAUUGGAAAUCAUAAGCAUUUUUGAACCAGUGAAGGCUUUUGCUGUACCAAAGACACUAAGUUUUUGGUUCCUAAUCACUAUUGCUCCACAUUAGUGUAGAGUUGAGCAUGUAACACGUUCCAAAUUAAUAACAAUAAUACAUACACUAAAAGUAUUUUGCCUAUCAUUACUGGCACAUAUUUAAUAUCAAACCAUAUGUGAGCUUUCAUUAUCAAGUAAUGCAACUCCUAGAAGUACUGUUUAAUUCUUACUCCAACAAAUAAAUAUGAAGCACUGACAGUUU